AAGUCGUAACAAGGUUUCCGUAGGUGAACCUGCGGAAGGAUCAUUAUUGAGUUUAAGCGGGGGUUGUGCUGGUCUUCGGACACUGUGCACGCCUUCGACUCAUCCACUCACACCUGUGCACUUUUGCGGGGGUUUAACCAUCUCCGAUAAUCACAUACACACUAUCAUACAAAUCAGAAUGAAUAAUCUUAAUUGAAACAACUUUCAACAACGGAUCUCUUGGCUCUC
Molecule: unclassified non-coding RNA, 228 nt
Filed under: air metagenome
Description: partial contains small subunit ribosomal RNA, internal transcribed spacer 1, and 5.8S ribosomal RNA
Rfam family: Eukaryotic small subunit ribosomal RNA (bases 1-46)
Source: RNAcentral